CAUCGUCAACCUCGGGUAUUUCUUCAAUGAUGAAGUCCUCCAGCGGAAUAGAUGCUGUAGUCAAAGGUUUCAGCACUAUCCCUGUCUCUACAGGAAUAGUUUCCUCUGCAUCUCUGCACCACAAAGUGUUACUACAUGAGUUCAAGACACUUCAACGUCAUUCAAAAAGAAAAAGAAGGCUCACCGGGUUGAACGUGGCGGCAGUCGCACACGCUUCUUCUCGGCGACGGGCGGCCAAGUAUUCGGAGCCGCGGGAACAGCCGCCGGCACCGUCUUUUCACCAAGACCUGCAAAAUCGAAGUUAAGACCAACAGUACUACUCAAAUG
This 327-nucleotide long non-coding RNA is filed under the name Setaria viridis. Its description in RNAcentral is "long non-coding RNA (SVIR_LNC007080)". Lineage: Eukaryota; Viridiplantae; Streptophyta; Magnoliopsida; Poales; Poaceae. The record is from RNAcentral.